CCUACGGGAGGCAGCAGUGGGGGAUAUUGCACAAUGGGGGAAACCCUGAUGCAGCGACGCCGCGUGAGUGAAGAAGUAUUUCGGUAUGUAAAGCUCUGUCAGAAGGGAAGAAAAUGACAGUACCUGACAAAGAAGCCCCGGCUAACUACGUGCCAGCAGCCGCGGUAAUACGGAGGGGGCAAGCGUUAUCCGGAUUUACUGGGUGGAAAGGGAGCGUAGACGGUUAUGUAAGUCUGGAGUGAAAGCCCUGGGCCCAACCCAGGGACUGCUUUGGAAACUGUGUAACUGGAGUACAGGAGGGGCAGGCGGAAUUCCUGGUGUAGCGGUGAAAGGCGUAGAUAUUAGGAGGAACACCGGCGGCGAAGGCGGCCUGCUGGACUUAUACUGACGUUGAGGCUCGAAAGCGUGGGGAGCAAACAGGAUUAGAUACCCCUGUAGUC
Molecule: ribosomal RNA, 440 nt
Filed under: uncultured bacterium
Lineage: Bacteria
Description: partial 16S ribosomal RNA
Rfam family: Bacterial small subunit ribosomal RNA
Source: RNAcentral